RNAcentral lists this ribosomal RNA (465 nucleotides) under uncultured bacterium. RNAcentral's name for it is "partial 16S ribosomal RNA". It matches the Rfam family "Bacterial small subunit ribosomal RNA", at positions 28 to 507 of the family's 1533-position model. The record is from RNAcentral.
GACGAACGCUGGCGGCGUGCUUAACACAUGCAAGUCGAACGGAAAGGCCCCUUUGGGGGUACUCGAGUGGCGAACGGGUGAGUAACACGUGAGUAACCUGCCCUUGACUUCGGGAUAACUUCAGGAAACUGGGGCUAAUACCGGAUAGGAAUCCUUGCUGCAUGGUGGGGGUUGGAAAGCUUCGGCGGUUUUGGAUGGACUCGCGGCUUAUCAGCUUGUUGGUGGGGUAGUGGCUUACCAAGGCUUUGACGGGUAGCCGGCCUGAGAGGGCGACCGGCCACCAUGGGACUUGGAUACGGCCCAGACUCCUACGGGGGGCAGCAGGGGGGAAUAUUGCACCAUGGGCGGAAGCCUGAUGCAGCAACGCCGCGUGCGGGAUGACGGCCUUCGGGUUGGAAACCGCUUUCAGCAGGGGAGAAGCUUGUGGUGACGGUACCUGCAGAAGAAGCACCGGCUAACUACGUG